CCUACGGGAGGCAGCAGUGAGGAAUAUUGGUCAAUGGGCGCGAGCCUGAACCAGCCAAGUAGCGGGAAGGAUGACUGCCCUACGGGUUGUAAACUUCUUUUAUAAAGGAAUAAAGUGAGGCACGUGUGCCUUUUUGUAUGUACUUUAUGAAUAAGGAUCGGCUAACUCCGUGCCAGCAGCCGCGGUAAUACGGAGGAUCCGAGCGUUAUCCGGAUUUCUUGGGUUUAAAGGGAGCGUAGAUGGGUUGUUAAGUCAGUUGUGAAAGUUUGCGGCUCAACCGGAAAAUUGCACUUGAUACGGGCAGCCUUGAGUCCCGUUGCGGUCGGCGGACUUCGUGGUGUAGCGGU
Molecule: ribosomal RNA, 347 nt
Filed under: uncultured bacterium
Lineage: Bacteria
Description: partial 16S ribosomal RNA
Rfam family: Bacterial small subunit ribosomal RNA
Source: RNAcentral